AUGCCAUUGCGUGAUUCUGCCUGCUCUGCCUGUGUAUCACGCACAUUUCUACGUUCUUGGAGAUGUCACCCCAAGCUUAUAUUCAGUGAGGAAACACUAGGCUUGAAACAGAAAGAAGGCCAAAAUAUCGAUAUAGCAAGGGGUUUCACUAGCAGAGUUGAUCAUAUUCUGAAAAAUCACUCAGACACCGGUGUGAAGAUACUCAAGUUUGUAAUCCGUGAUCAUUACAAUGUCGACACUUGUCAUCUAAAUAGUUGGCUCCAGAAAGCUAUCACACCAGGGAUUGAAGAAGUCACACUUUUGCUGCCUACAAAAUAUAGGAAAAUGUAUGAAGUCCCGUGUUCAGCUCUACUUGAUGGGUGUGGAAACUCAAUCUGGUAUCUUUACCUCACCAAUUGUGCCUUCCGCCCCCCGGUUGGAUUUGAUUGCUUGAGAAGCCUGACAAAGCUGCAUCUGUAUGGAGUUUGUAUCACGGGGGAUGAGUUGGGGCAUCUUAUUUCCAAUUGUUUUGCUUUGGAGGAGUUAGAAGUCAGCUGUUGCAUGAAGCUAAUCUGCCUGGAGAUACCAUUCUGGCUGGAGCGGCUUAGUUGCUUGACUGUGUCUCAGUGCGACAAGCUGAGAGUGAUAAAGAGCACAGCUCCACACCUCUCCAUUUUUGACUUCUUUGGUGAACCAGUACAACUCGUGCUUGGAGAAUCAUCAAAGGUAAAAGACUUAAGGGUGGGGUAUUCAUUUGCGCCCAAUGCUGUGAGUUAUGCUAUCACUAAGCUACCUUUCAUCGCACCACAUCUUGAGACUCUUACUGUAUACUCGUUUUGUGAGAGGGUUAGUACCCCAAUGGUAGCUGACAAAUUCCUCCACAUAAAGCACUUGAAUAUCUACCUUGGUGAGGAUGAUGGUGGGGCUGUUACCCCGGCCUAUGAUUAUUUAUCCUUGGCUUCAUUUCUGGAUGCUUGUCCUGUCUUGGAGAGUUUCAUCUUAAGUGUAGAUCAGAGUGACAUGCGGCAUGAUUCGGUUUUUGAGGAUCCCUCCUCACAUCUGAGGCAGAUUCCUGAACACAGGCGACAUGAGAGGCUCAAGAAGGUGCAAAUCGAUGGCUUUUGCUCUGCAAAGAGCGUAGUUGAGCUAACAUGUCAUAUCCUCAAGAAUGCAACGUCACUUGAAAGCCUCACACUGGACUGCAUAUUUGGUGCGGAGGCGGUUGGUCAGUCUGUUAGGUGUUCUGCCCCAGAAUCCGGUAAAUGCAUGCCCACAAGCCGGCGUAUGAUCUUGGAAGCACAUAAAGCACUCAGUGCCGUCAAGAGAUACAUCCUGGAGAAAGUUCCCUCUUCAGUCAAGUUAAAUGUCGGGGGGCCUUGUACCCGGUGCCAUGUUAUGGAUGUGAUGUUGCCGCAGGUAUACAAUAUGUAG
RNAcentral lists this ribosomal RNA (1410 nucleotides) under Triticum aestivum (bread wheat). Its description in RNAcentral is "partial small subunit ribosomal RNA". The record is from RNAcentral. Lineage: Eukaryota; Viridiplantae; Streptophyta; Magnoliopsida; Poales; Poaceae.